UACGUAGGGUGCGAGCGUUGUCCGGAAUUAUUGGGCGUAAAGAGCUCGUAGGCGGUGUGUCGCGUCGGCCGUGAAAACCUGGGGCUUAACUCUGGGCGUGCGGUCGAUACGGGCAUCACUGGAGUUCGGCAGGGGAGACUGGAAUUCCUGGUGUAGCGGUGAAAUGCGCAGAUAUCAGGAGGAACACCGAUGGCGAAGGCAGGUCUCUGGGCCAUAACUGACGCUGAGAAGCGAAAGCAUGGGGAGCGAACAGG
RNAcentral lists this ribosomal RNA (254 nucleotides) under uncultured bacterium. Its description in RNAcentral is "partial 16S ribosomal RNA". It matches the Rfam family "Bacterial small subunit ribosomal RNA", at positions 524 to 776 of the family's 1533-position model. The record is from RNAcentral.